AACACCAGACGGACCUUAAGACAACCUGAAUCGACACAAGUACCGUACAUCGGUUCAUGUCAUCUGAAGGUUCAUGUUGUCUAAAGGUUCAUGUCGUCUAAUGCAAAGGUUCAUGUUAUCUGAAGAUUCAUGUCUAACGUAAAGGUUUGUGUUGUCAAAUGGUUCAUGUUGUCUAAUGUUCAUGUUGUCUAACGUAAAGGUUUAUGUCGUCUAAUGGUUCAUGUUGUCUAACGUAAAGGUUUAUGUCGUCUAAUGGUUCAUGUUGUCUAACGUAAAGGUUUAUGUCGUCUAAUGGUUCAUGUUGUCUAACGUAAAGGUUUAUGUCGUCUAAUGGUUCAUGUUGUCUAACGUAAAGGUUUAUGUCGUCUAAUGGUUCAUGUUGUCUAACGUAAAGGUUUAUGUCGUCUAAUGGUUCAUGUUGUCUAACGUAAAGGUUUAUGUCGUCUAAUGGUUCAUGUUGUCUAACGUAAAGGUUUAUGUCGUCUAAUGGUUCAUGUUGUCUAACGUAAAGGUUUAUGUCGUCUAAUGGUUCAUGUUGUCUAACGUAAAGGUUUAUGUCGUCUAAUGGUUCAUGUUGUCUAAUGUAAAGGUUCAUGUUGGGGAGUAAAGGUAGAAUAAAGGUGGACUAAAUGUAGAUUAAAGUUGGACUAAAGGAAGGUGGU
Molecule: long non-coding RNA, 662 nt
Organism: Acanthochromis polyacanthus (spiny chromis)
Lineage: Eukaryota; Metazoa; Chordata; Actinopteri; Pomacentridae
Exons: 3
Source: RefSeq, a predicted model, not a curated record